GAAGUGGAAGCAGUCAUUAGUCGUCUUUGAGGAUGAUGCUUCAGAUACGGUUGAUGUAUCUCUAUCCUCCUUUGUGUCUGUCUACAUUCGGAUUUAUAAACCAAGAGAAUUUACUUUCACUUCGGUCUGUUAGAUUUGAUAUUUUUUUGAAGUUUUUAGUUGUGUUGUGUAAGAUAAUCUUUCUUUCCCAUGCCAAUCAAUAACCUAUCGGAUUUUGUGACAGAAAAUUACUGAUGCAAUUGACCUUAUCUUUUCUUGAAACAAAUGUUCAGAUGUUUGAAGCUAACUUGCACCACAUUAGUUUUGUCUUUUAAUUGAUUCUCAAGCCCUAAACUGAGUUUAAUCCAAAACGGCUCAACAUAAAUUAAAAAAUUGUUAUUUUUUGACAAUUAACAAUUAAAUGCCUAGAGUAAAAAUUUAAACUUUAAAGCUAAAAUUCAGAUUUUUUUCAAAAGUUUCUCAAAGAAAAAAAAGGGAAAAGUGUACAGAGAAAAACAAUGAAACCAAACAAAAAAAAGGAAACGAGAAACUCGAGUAUACGCGCAUGAGAGCGCGCGUGGAGUAUGUCCUGACCUCUCCAACAAGGCGGACGAUAUGGGCCGAGCUUUAAAGCCCAGUUUACACGUGCGAGUUUAUUAAUAAAUAAAUAGCUUAAUGUCAAGUUUACACUCCUAACCAAACCAAACCGGUUCUUUCCUCUCCAACAAGCCAAGAAUCGUAUAAAGAACUAUCGAAAUCUCAAAAUCUAUCUCCGAUCGAAACCCGGCGAAGAUGACGAGAGAUAUCGAAGAUGAGAUCAGAGACGAGAAGAACCCUCGCCCCCUUGACGAAGACGACAUCGCUCUCCUCAAGACUUACGUAAGCAACCCCUCUCAGCUUCUUACUCUGUUAGGGCCAUCGAGGGUCUCUCGGAUCUAGCUUUAGGAGAGUCCUCGUUAGUUAAAGUCGCUUCCUUUAGGGUUUCUCGAACAAGGGUUUCUUGCUCUUGACACUGUUUGCUGGGUUUCGUCUCAUAAAUGUCAUUGCUUUGGGGGUUUAGGCGAGUCCACGUUAGUUAAAGUUGCUACCUUUGGGGUUUCUCGAUUAAGGGUUUUGACACUGUUUGCUAGAUUUCGUCUCUUCAGACAAAACCAAACUGAUGUUUCGUCUUGAGUGACUCAAGCCAGAAUUCAGUUUCAGUUUUGGUUGUGUACUUGUGUCUGUUCUCUCGAUAUAUGUUUUCUUGCGGACUCUCCUUUGCGUAAAUGUGAUUCCUUUUGCAGGGGUUAAGUCCUUACUCUGCAGCUAACAAGAAAGUUGAGAAAGAAAUCAAGGAGCUCGCCAAGAGGAUCAACGAUCUCUGUGGUAUGUAUUGUAUGCACACUCUUUGUUUUUGCUGAAGCGUUUGGGUUUACAGAAGGAUUACUUUAUAUGAUGGAAACCUUGAUGGAGCUUCUCACUUUGUAUUGCAGGCAUCAAGGAGUCUGAUACUGGUUUAGCUCUUCCUAGUCAAUGGGAUCUCGUUUCUGAUAAGCAGAUGAUGCAAGAGGAGCAACCUCUUCAGGUACCCUCUCUUUCUUAGGAAAACCUCUUUUGCUUCUCUAAGGCUUGAGUAUUAGGGACUAAGCUGUAAAUGUUUUUAUUUUCCAGGUUGCUAGAUGCACGAAGAUCAUUAGUCCAAACACUGAAGAUGCCAAGUACGUCAUCAAUGUCAAACAGAUAGCCAAGGUACAUUAAUAUUACCUAAGCUGAUGUUUCUGCAUAACCGCUUAUGUUUUACCUUUCGAUUUUUUUUGGUUAUAACUGUUUCUUUUUGGUGCAGUUUGUCGUUGGCCUUGGAGAUAAAGUUUCUCCCACUGACAUUGAAGAAGGCAUGCGCGUAGGGUAUGUUUCAUGUUUAUGAACUGAGAUUGUCUCUGAUUUAAUUAGAAGUUACUGAACUUUAAUUAUUUAAUAUAUAUUAAUUAUUUCAUAAUAUGUAAAAAUAUUUAAUACAUAAAAUAAUUUAUAUAUAUAAUGUUGAUCCCGCGCAAGGCGCAGAUCUUAACCUAGUAUUAUAGUGUUUUGUUAAUAUUUUUUUUUCUUGUUUAGCUAAAUUUGAAUCGUUGUUGUCCUCCAAAAGUUUUAAACACAAGCAGUAGGUUGACUGAGUCGGAGCAACUGGAUAGCGAUCUCGGUUAGUGUAUGCCCCUGUUUCGGUCUGUUUCGGUUUGUUGUUGAAUUUGUGUUUGUAGAUUUUCUUUUUUUUUUUUCUCUGCUUCUUGUCAUCUUUGUACUUCUGUCAAAAACUUAAAAGCUUAGUAAUAAUAUCAUUACAUUUUACCCAAAAAAAAAGAGAGUUUUAAACACAAAAAUAAGAGACUGACCAAAUACAAACUUUUGCAUCUGAAACGAAAACGAGUAGAAGCCUCAGCUUUUAUUCCUCCGUAUACCUUUAACAAAGACAACCCUCCAUUUUCUUAUGUUCAUUUAUGGCCCAUGGAUAAGAUUAAAAGCCCAUUAAUAAAACGCUGCGUUUCGGAUCAAUCUAACUUGUUGUUCAACAAGUGAACCUUCGGAAGCUAAAAGACGGAGCCGAACGCAUCCAGUUUCCUCGAUUCGCCCACCAACCAGCUCGUAUGAUCUCCUCUUCUCAACACCUUCUUAGUUAAUUCGAUUCCCAUUUUGUGGAUUCAACCAGAUCUGUUAAUUCUUCCAGGGUUUUGAUUCUGUUGUGCAGACAGACACUAAAGGGGUUUUACAGAUCGAAGAAGAAGAUGUUUCUCACGAGGUCUGUCUAUCUUCUUCUGCUUAUGGGUUUACUUAAAGUUUCGUCCUUUUUUAUGUUUCAGUCGUGGGUUUUUGCUUAAUCGUGAUUUCUGAUUUUGUGUGUUUUUGUUCCAAGGACUGAGUACGACAGAGGAGUCAACACUUUCUCUCCUGAGGGUAGGCUAUUCCAAGUCGAGUACGCCAUUGAAGCUAUCAAGGUAACAACUUUUUUAUGAGUUUAAGAAAAUGAGUUCAAUAUCUCUUUGUAUAUUGAGGUUUGGACUUAAGAGUAAAGUUUCCAUUGAAGCUAUGGAGAAGAAUAUAAGAGAAGUUGAUUUAGUGGGGUUCUUUGAUUGCUCAGACAGUUUUAUUGCUUACCAGUUCUUAGUUUUGUAGCCAUUGAGACUAAAUUGGUAGAUUUAGUGAUCUUCUUGGAUAAUGAUUUAGUGUGUUUCUUUUCUUUGAUUGCUUAUACUUAAAGAGUAUUGCAGAGUUUGGAUCACAUUUUCUUGUUUACUUGCUGUUGUUGAGAUUUACAGUGUGAUGAUGUGUGUGUGGAUUAUAAUAUUUCUUGAGUGUCUGAUGAGUGUGGGAUUAUUGCAGCUUGGUUCUACUGCAAUUGGAGUAAAGACAAAGGAAGGAGUUGUGCUUGCUGUCGAGAAGCGUAUCACCUCGCCUUUGCUGGUUUGCCUACUUACAUUGAAUUCUCGGUUUCUUAUAAGUUCUCAUUUUGAUCACUUUUAUUUAAUUCAACGAAUUGCAUCUCUGGUGUUGCAUUAGAUAGGAUGAAGUAUAAGCAAUCUAUGUUACUUAUAUAUGGUAUUUGAGUCUAUGUUAAAACAUCAGUCUAAGUCUAAGUUAAGAAGUGUAUCAGUAUCACCUCGCCUUAACAGGUUUGGCUUCUUACAUUGAAUCUUUGUUUUUCAGGAGCCGAGCAGUGUGGAGAAGAUUAUGGAAAUUGAUGACCAUAUUGGCUGUGCCAUGAGCGGUUUAAUUGCUGAUGCGCGUACUCUUGUUGAGCAUGCAAGAGUUGAGACUCAAGUGAGGUUUCUCUUUCUUCGGUUUUAUUUUUGCUUAUAGCGUAAAAAGACCUUUUACACGUUAUUGACAGCUUGUUUGCUAAUGGUACAGAACCACAGAUUCUCGUAUGGUGAGCCAAUGACUGUAGAGUCCACUACACAAGCCCUGUGUGAUCUGGCUUUACGGUUUGGUGAAGGAGAUGAAGAAUCAAUGGUAAAUAACUGAUAAUCAAAUCCGAAUCUCUACUUAAUGACUCAUGAGUACUGUUUCUCUUUUUUUCAUCUGUGUUAUUACAGUCUCGGCCAUUUGGAGUUUCUCUUCUCAUCGCUGGUCACGAUGAAAACGGACCGAGCUUGUAAGUGUUCUUCUACUGAUAUGAUUCACUUGUGGAUUGACCAAAUUGUAAACGGCUCGGUCUUGUUACAGGUACUACACAGACCCGUCCGGAACAUUCUGGCAGUGCAAUGCAAAGGCGAUUGGAUCAGGGUCAGAAGGAGCUGAUAGUUCUCUUCAAGAACAAUUCAACAAAGUAAGUUGAGAACUUAUACAAUAAUUAAUUACUCAAAUCUGACUGACUCCUGGUGUUAUAUAACCAUUAGCUUCCUUUAACUUUGUUGCAGGAUCUGUCACUUGAGGAAGCUGAGACGAUCGCUGUAUCUAUCCUCAAGCAAGUUAUGGAAGAAAAGGUAUAAAAACUUUUCAAUCCAAACCUAUUACAGUUUACUCAAAGUUUUUUAUCCCAAUCUAAAUGGGUCUGGUCUGUGUAGGUGACUCCAAAUAAUGUGGACAUUGCCAAGGUAGCUCCAGCGUACCAUAUCUACACUCCACAGGAAGUGGAAGCAGUCAUUAGUCGUCUUUGAGGAUGAUGCUUCAGAUACGGUUGAUGUAUCUCUAUCCUCCUUUGUGUCUGUCUACAUUCGGAUUUAUAAACCAAGAGAAUUUACUUUCACUUCGGUCUGUUAGAUUUGAUAUUUUUUUGAAGUUUUUAGUUGUGUUGUGUAAGAUAAUCUUUCUUUCCCAUGCCAAUCAAUAACCUAUCGGAUUUUGUGACAGAAAAUUACUGAUGCAAUUGAC
Molecule: long non-coding RNA, 4821 nt
Filed under: Brassica napus (rape)
Lineage: Eukaryota; Viridiplantae; Streptophyta; Magnoliopsida; Brassicales; Brassicaceae
Description: long non-coding RNA (BNAP_LNC006497)
Source: RNAcentral